Molecule: transfer RNA, 72 nt
Filed under: Ictidomys tridecemlineatus (thirteen-lined ground squirrel)
Lineage: Eukaryota; Metazoa; Chordata; Mammalia; Rodentia; Sciuridae
Description: Spermophilus tridecemlineatus (thirteen-lined ground squirrel) tRNA
Rfam family: tRNA
About the family: Transfer RNA (tRNA) molecules are approximately 80 nucleotides in length. Their secondary structure includes four short double-helical elements and three loops (D, anti-codon, and T loops).
Source: Rfam by way of RNAcentral
UGUGAUAUAGCUCCGUGGUAGAGUGUUUGCCUAGCAUAUAUGAGACCCUGGGCUCAAUCCCCAGCACCACAA